Molecule: ribosomal RNA, 486 nt
Filed under: uncultured bacterium
Lineage: Bacteria
Description: bacterial SSU rRNA
Rfam family: Bacterial small subunit ribosomal RNA
Source: RNAcentral
GAUGAACGCUAGCGGGAGGCUUAACACAUGCAAGUCGAGGGGCAGCAUAGGGUAGCAAUACUCUGAUGGCGACCGGCAAACGGGUGAGUAACGCGUAUGCAACCUACCCUGUACAGGGGGAUAACCCGGAGAAAUUCGGACUAAUAUCCCGUAAUAAUAUCCGGAGGCAUCUUUGGAUAUUUAAAGUUCCGACGGUACGGGAUGGGCAUGCGUAACAUUAACUGGUUGGUAAGGUAACGGCUUACCAAGGCUAUGAUGUUUAGGGGUCCUGAGAGGGUGGUCCCCCACACUGGUACUGAGACACGGACCAGACUCCUACGGGAGGCAGCAGUGAGGAAUAUUGGUCAAUGGGCGCAAGCCUGAACCAGCCAUCCCGCGUGCAGGAAGACGGCCCUAUGGGUUGUAAACUGCUUUUCCAGGGGGAGAAACUUUCCGAUGCAUCGGGAUUUGACGGUACCCUGGGAAUAAGCAUCGGCUAACUCCGUG